RNAcentral lists this ribosomal RNA (253 nucleotides) under uncultured Lactobacillus sp. Its description in RNAcentral is "partial 16S ribosomal RNA". It matches the Rfam family "Bacterial small subunit ribosomal RNA", at positions 109 to 354 of the family's 1533-position model. Lineage: Bacteria; Bacillati; Bacillota; Bacilli; Lactobacillales; Lactobacillaceae. The record is from RNAcentral.
AGUAACGCGUGGGUAACCUGCCCUUAAGUCUGGGAUACCAUUUGGAAACAGAUGCUAAUACCGGAUAAAAGCUACUUUCGCAUGAAAGAAGUUUAAAAGGCGGCGUAAGCUGUCGCUAAAGGAUGGACCUGCGAUGCAUUAGCUAGUUGGUAAGGUAACGGCUUACCAAGGCGAUGAUGCAUAGCCGAGUUGAGAGACUGAUCGGCCACAUUGGGACUGAGACACGGCCCAAACUCCUACGGGAGGCAGCAGA